CCUACGGGCGGCAGCAGUGGGGAAUAUUGGACAAUGGGCGAAAGCCUGAUCCAGCCAUGCCGCGUGUGUGAAGAAGGCCUUCGGGUUGUAAAGCACUUUCAGUGGGGAAGAAAGCCUUGGGGCUAAUACCCUCGAGGAAGGACAUCACCCACAGAAGAAGCACCGGCUAACUCCAUGCCAGCAGCCGCGGUAAUACGGAGGGUGCGAGCGUUAAUCGGAAUUACUGGGCGUAAAGCGCGCGUAGGCGGUCUGAUAAGCCGGUUGUGAAAGCCCCGGGCUCAACCUGGGAACGGCAUCCGGAACUGUCAGGCUAGAGUGCAGGAGAGGAAGGUAGAAUUCCCGGUGUAGCGGUGAAAUGCGUAGAGAUCGGGAGGAAUACCAGUGGCGAAGGCGGCCUUCUGGACUGACACUGACGCUGAGGUGCGAAAGCGUGGGUAGCAAACAGGAUUAGAUACCCCAGUAGUC
Molecule: ribosomal RNA, 465 nt
Filed under: Vreelandella stevensii
Lineage: Bacteria; Pseudomonadati; Pseudomonadota; Gammaproteobacteria; Oceanospirillales; Halomonadaceae
Description: partial 16S ribosomal RNA
Rfam family: Bacterial small subunit ribosomal RNA
Source: RNAcentral